Molecule: long non-coding RNA, 431 nt
Organism: Triticum aestivum (bread wheat)
Lineage: Eukaryota; Viridiplantae; Streptophyta; Magnoliopsida; Poales; Poaceae
Exons: 3
Source: RefSeq, a predicted model, not a curated record
UCUCAGCUUCUCCGUUCUUCUUUUCUCCACUCAUUCCUUUUCUCAUUUCCUUAUUUUCUCUUCUCACACAAAAAUUGGUUUUGCUGGAUAGCUCUCAUCAGCUUGCUCUCUUGAUCCGCUGUAUUGAGGUUGCUCCUCCUCACCUCAAGCCACCACUGGAGCUAGUGCUGCCACAGGGUGACCAUCAACGGCGGCUGGUUUGGCCCCUCGCCCGCAGCCUCUUGGAUCCACCUUCAGUAUGAGGGAGCUUGAGACAUUUUCUUCCCCGAGCGUGCAAAACCAAACACAUCGCCACUAUUUCUGCGGGAGGCAGCUCAACACAUCAUUCACAUCCUCUACUACGGCAACAUUCUUCAAUUCAAACUGCAGAGUACCCGGAGUGCGCCGCUUGUUACUUCGAAUCUCUAGGUUUCGCGGAUCAUCAGCAAGGC